This is a long non-coding RNA of Odontomachus brunneus, 662 nucleotides long. RefSeq lists it as uncharacterized. Lineage: Eukaryota; Metazoa; Arthropoda; Insecta; Hymenoptera; Formicidae. The record is from RefSeq and is a predicted model, not a curated record. The transcript has 3 exons.
AUCAAAAGACCUAUUAUGGUUCUGUGUGAGAAAUGAAAAUAUACGAAAAACGAGCAGAUUUAGAAUAUUUAUAAUUUCAUUAGUCAAAACAACAACAAUAACAUUUAGUGAAUUCGCUCACUUUUUGCAUUUUUACUUCUUACACAGACCUUCAGGCCACUUUGAAAAUCCUCAAACCGGAUUGUUAAACGAAACCGUUGUCGGUCGAUUGAUGUAUACUGGAUUUCAAGCCUCUGUGCAAAAAGAAAGGUGUGGAAAAUUCCAACAUGUUUCCACGGAAUCUGCCUACUUGGAGGCGAUCAUGAAUCCUUUUCUUCAGUGCAAACUCAUGAAAAAUGAAUAUUUUGAGAUGUUUUUAAAGUUAGAUUUUUCACUUUUCACGAGUUCACGCUAGAAGAAAAGACUCGUGAUUAAUUUCCUGAAUAAAGGUGCUGAAUGCAGGAGAAACCAAGUUUUUCUAGAGCGCCAAUGAGUAAGGGAGAUGCCAACAAUUGUGUGAUUUACAGCUAGAUUAGUCCAGCAACAUCGACGUUUAAUGACAUGAAUAACGUGUUUCGAGGAAAAUAUAUGGAAUAAAAUGUACAUAACUAAAAGCAAUCUAUUCUAUGGUAUAUUUAGAUUAUUAUGACUUUACUAUUACUUUUUAUUGCUAUUACUGUCAA